RNAcentral lists this ribosomal RNA (418 nucleotides) under uncultured bacterium. RNAcentral describes it as "bacterial SSU rRNA". It matches the Rfam family "Bacterial small subunit ribosomal RNA", at positions 8 to 426 of the family's 1533-position model. The record is from RNAcentral.
AGAGUUUGAUCAUGGCUCAGAUUGAACGCUGGCGGCAGGCUUAACACAUGCAAGUCGAGCGGGGGAGAUUGCUUCGGUAAUUGACCUAGCGGCGGACGGGUGAGUAAUACUUAGGAAUCUGCCUAUUAAUGGGGGACAACAUCUCGAAAGGGAUGCUAAUACCGCAUACGCCCUACGGGGGAAAGCAGGGGAUCACUUGUGACCUUGCGUUAAUAGAUGAGCCUAAGUCGGAUUAGCUAGUUGGUGGGGUAAAGGCCUACCAAGGCGACGAUCUGUAGCGGGUCUGAGAGGAUGAUCCGCCACACUGGGACUGAGACACGGCCCAGACUCCUACGGGAGGCAGCAGUGGGGAAUAUUGGACAAUGGGGGGAACCCUGAUCCAGCCAUGCCGCGUGUGUGAAGAAGGCCUUAUGGUUGU